ACGGGAGGCAGCAGUGGGGAAUAUUGCACAAUGGGCGAAAGCCUGAUGCAGCGACGCCGCGUGAGCGAAGAAGUAUUUCGGUAUGUAAGGCUCUAUCAGCAGGGAAGAAAAAUGACGGUACCUGACUAAGAAGCACCGGCUAAAUACGUGCCAGCAGCCGCGGUAAUACGUAUGGUGCAAGCGUUAUCCGGAUUUACUGGGUGUAAAGGGAGCGCAGGCGGUACGGCAAGUCUGAUGUGAAAGCCCGGGGCUCAACCCCGGUACUGCAUUGGAAACUGUCGAACUAGAGUGUCGGAGGGGUAAGUGGAAUUCCUAGUGUAGUGGUGAAAUGCGUAGAUAUUAGGAGGAACACCAGUGGCGAAGGCGGCUUACUGGACGAUCACUGACGCUGAGGCUCGAAAGCGUGGGGAGCAAACAGGAUUAGAUACCCUGGUA
RNAcentral lists this ribosomal RNA (435 nucleotides) under uncultured Roseburia sp. RNAcentral's name for it is "partial 16S ribosomal RNA". It matches the Rfam family "Bacterial small subunit ribosomal RNA", at positions 341 to 792 of the family's 1533-position model. Lineage: Bacteria; Bacillati; Bacillota; Clostridia; Lachnospirales; Lachnospiraceae. The record is from RNAcentral.